This 413-nucleotide long non-coding RNA is filed under the name Chelonoidis abingdonii (Abingdon island giant tortoise). RNAcentral describes it as "lncRNA (ENSCABG00000005591.1)". The record is from RNAcentral. Lineage: Eukaryota; Metazoa; Chordata; Testudines; Testudinidae.
CCAGCUGCUUCGAAGUCAUCAGGCUCAGUCUGGGGUUCAGCCUUUAGCUUUCUCCUCGGAACUCUAAGGGGACUGACCUACACGCUGCUCAGGGACUUGUGCAAACAGCUUGCAGUGUAUCGAAACGUGCACGAACCCGGGAAGACAUCGGAUGCUAACGACUGGUGAACUAAACCAGGCAGUUUGAAUGAGACGAGGGACGAGACAAACAUGCAAAAGAGCACAUACGUGGGGCUGCGUAACCAGGAUUCCAUCUGCAACUUUAACCGUCCGCUGCAAUAUCCCUUCUUCACCCCAGAGUUCAGAGAGACCAUCCCCAGCUGCAAUAAUGUUGGCGACUCCCACAUCAUGUACCAUCCGCAAAGGCAGCGUCAAGAGAUGACUGGUAAUUCAUCACCACCUGAUACUGAAGA